UUUUUUUUUUCUGAGGAAGAUUCACCCUGAGCUAACAUCUGUGCCAAUCAUCCUCUAUUUUUUAGUAUGUGGGCUGCGAGCACAGCAUGGCUGCUAACAGAGUGUUGUAGGUCCAUGCCUGGGAACCGAACCUGGGCCGCCGAAGUAGAGUGUGCUGAACUUAACCACUAGGCCACCAGGGCUGGCCAAACAUAACUUUUAUAUGCACUGGGAAAACAAAACAUUUGUGUGACUUGCUUUAUUGUGGUAUUUGCUUUAUUGUGGUGGUCUGGAACUGAAUUCUCAGCAUCUCCAAGAAGGGUUCGAGUUUGUACUGGCUUCCCUUGAUGGCAGAAGAGAGAUCUGAGUGUGCCUGGCCCCCAAGGGUAGGUAGGAGGCUCCCCACGCCUCCAGAGACCUGGCGCCCCAGGACUCACUACCAUCCAUUCAACAAACCUGCCCUGAUGCUUCUCUGCGCCAUGACCCCGAGCUCAGCUGGAUGUGCCAGCCAUGAAGAGGACAAGUUCCCUGCCUGACUAUUCUAUCAGGAUUAGGGGAGAUUGACUUGGAGAUUAUGUUACCAUGUAUUGUCUCUUCUGAUAAGGAUUUGAAAAAGUUCUUAUGGGGGGGGUGGGGGACAACGACAUGGACAUUGCCUGGUGACUAGACCCGUGUGUUCCAAAUACAAGAGAGAGGUCUGGGCUGGAGAGAGAUUUUGGUUUCCUGACAUGGUUGUGAUAUUUAGCAAAUAAAAAUACAAGACGUCCAGUUAAAUUUGAAUUUCACAUAAACAACGAAUAACAACUUAGUAUAAGUAGGGCCCGUCAAUAUUUGGGGCAUACUUACACUAAAACAUUAUUCCUUGUUCCUCUGAAAUUCAAAUUAAAUUGGGGGUCCUGUGUUUCAUCUGGCGGGCAACCAGACUCGAUGGAGCCCCGGGGAUCGAACGCCCGGAGGCGAGGCCUGGCCAGAGACGAGGGUCCAUAGGGAUGAGAGCCCGGGGUUGGACGCCUGGCGAGUCUGGCGAGCCAGCUGCGCCGGACCUCCGAGCCGCCUGCUCCGG
Molecule: long non-coding RNA, 1042 nt
Filed under: Equus caballus (horse)
Lineage: Eukaryota; Metazoa; Chordata; Mammalia; Perissodactyla; Equidae
Description: lncRNA (ENSECAG00000045710.1)
Source: RNAcentral